RNAcentral lists this long non-coding RNA (296 nucleotides) under Callithrix jacchus (white-tufted-ear marmoset). Its description in RNAcentral is "lncRNA (ENSCJAG00000068993.2)". The record is from RNAcentral. Lineage: Eukaryota; Metazoa; Chordata; Mammalia; Primates; Cebidae.
CACUUCCCACUUUUUAGUUCAGUGCUCUUUUUAGUCUGACUUGUCUGUCUGGAACUCCCUAUCCUGCCUCUCCUGCUGCUGUGGCUUCCCACUUCUCCUGAAAAUCCACCUUUUAUACCCAUCCUUGAUGAAGCUUGAGCAGUGCUCUCUCACGAUAAGCUUUUCUAAGUCUCAAGACAAGGUCCAAUAGUUCCAGAAAUCCUUGUGAACAUUACAACAUAGGUAAGAUGAAUCUUAUAAGCCUUAAUUAAAGUAUUCUGAGAUACCUGGUAUUUGUAUGUCAGCUCCUCCUUUUC